AGAGUUUGAUCCUGGCUCAGAACGAACGCUGGCGGUAUGCUUAACACAUGCAAGUCGAACGAAUUGGAUAGCUUCGGUUAUUCAGUUAGUGGCAGACGGGUGAGUAACGCGUGGGAAUGUACCCUUUAGUUCAGAAUAACUACGGGAAACUGUAGCUAAUACUGGAUACGCCCUUUUUGGGGAAAGAUUUAUCGCUAAAGGAACAGCCCGCGUUAGAUUAGGUAGUUGGUGAGGUAACGGCUCACCAAGCCGACGAUCUAUAGCUGGUUUGAGAGGAUGAUCAGCCACACUGGGACUGAGACACGGCCCAGACUCCUACGGGAGGCAGCAGUGGGGAAUAUUGGACAAUGGGGGCAACCCUGAUCCAGCAAUACCGCGUGAGUGAAGAAGGCCUUCGGGUUGUAAAGCUCUUUUACCGGGGAAGAUGAUGACGGUACCCGGGGAAUAAGCUCCGGCUAACUUCGUGCCAGCCGCCGCGGUAAUAC
Molecule: ribosomal RNA, 485 nt
Filed under: uncultured bacterium
Lineage: Bacteria
Description: bacterial SSU rRNA
Rfam family: Bacterial small subunit ribosomal RNA
Source: RNAcentral